RNAcentral lists this ribosomal RNA (494 nucleotides) under bacterium PN37. RNAcentral's name for it is "bacterial SSU rRNA". It matches the Rfam family "Bacterial small subunit ribosomal RNA", at positions 13 to 495 of the family's 1533-position model. The record is from RNAcentral.
UUGAUCCUGGGCUCAGAUUGAACGCUGGGCGGGGCAUGCCUUACACAUGCAAGUCGAACGGCAGCACGGGGAGGCAAUCCUGGUGGCGAGUGGCGGAACGGGUGAGUAAUACAUCGGAACGUGUCCUGUAGUGGGGGGAUAGCCCGGCGAAAGCCGGAUUAAUACCGCAUACGCUCUACGGAGGAAAGGGGGGGAUCUUAGGACCUCUCGCUACAGGGGCGGCCGAUGGCAGAUUAGCUAGUUGGUGGGGUAAAGGCCUACCAAGGCGACGAUCUGUAGCUGGUCUGAGAGGACGACCAGCCACACUGGGACUGAGACACGGCCCAGACUCCUACGGGAGGCAGCAGUGGGGAAUUUUGGACAAUGGGCGCAAGCCUGAUCCAGCAAUGCCGCGUGUGUGAAGAAGGCCUUCGGGUUGUAAAGCACUUUUGUCCGGAAAGAAAACCUCUGGGUUAAUACCCCGGGGGGAUGACGGUACCGGAAGAAUAGCACCG